GAUAAACGCUGGCGGCGCACAUAAGACAUGCAAGUCGAACGGAAGUCGUUAUUAAGUGGAUUGAAGAUUUAUCGGAUUGAAACUUAAUAACAAUGGCUUUAGUGGCGGACUGGUGAGUAACGCGUAAGCAAUCUACCUAUUAGAGGGGAAAAACAAUGAGAAAUCAUUGCUAAUACCGCAUAUGCCAUAAGUAUCACAUGGUACUAGUGGGAAAGGAGUAAUCCGCUAAUAGAUGAGCUUGCGUCUGAUUAGUUAGUUGGUGGGGUAACGGCCUACCAAGACGACGAUCAGUAGCCGGACUGAGAGGUUUGAACGGCCACAUUGGGACUGAGAUACGGCCCAGACUCCUACGGGAGGCAGCAGUCGGGAAUAUUGCGCAAUGGAGGAAACUCUGACGCAGUGACGCCGCGUAUAGGAAGAAGGUUUUCGGAUUGUAAACUAUUGUCGUUUAGGGAAGAAAAAAGACAGUACCUAAGGAGGAAGCUACCGGCUAACUACGUGCCAGCA
RNAcentral lists this ribosomal RNA (507 nucleotides) under uncultured bacterium. RNAcentral describes it as "bacterial SSU rRNA". It matches the Rfam family "Bacterial small subunit ribosomal RNA", at positions 28 to 513 of the family's 1533-position model. The record is from RNAcentral.